AUUCCAGCUCCAAUAGCGUAUAUUAAAGUUGUUGCGGUUAAAAAGCUCGUAGUUGGAUUUCUGUCGGUGAAUAUCAGUCCGCCCACAGCGGUAGGUACGUGAUAUUUCACCGGCAUCUUCCUGGGGAAUGUGUCUGCUCUUUAUUGAGUGGUACAUAAGCCAGGACUUUUACUUUGAAGAAAUGAGAGUGUUUCAAGCAGGCAUGCGCCGUGAAUACGUUAGCAUGGGAUAAUAGCAUCGGACCUCGUCCCAAAGCUGUUGGUUUCUUGGACCGAGGUAAAGGUGAAUAGGGAUUGUUGGGGGCAUUCGUAUUUGACUGUCAGAGGUGAAAUUCUUGGAUUUGUUGAAGACGGACUACUGCGAAAGCAUCUGCCAAAGAUGUUCUCAUCA
This 390-nucleotide ribosomal RNA is filed under the name Syndiniales sp. RNAcentral describes it as "partial small subunit ribosomal RNA". It matches the Rfam family "Eukaryotic small subunit ribosomal RNA", at positions 582 to 975 of the family's 1831-position model. Lineage: Eukaryota; Dinophyceae; Syndiniales. The record is from RNAcentral.